Molecule: unclassified non-coding RNA, 213 nt
Filed under: Hevea brasiliensis (rubber tree)
Lineage: Eukaryota; Viridiplantae; Streptophyta; Magnoliopsida; Malpighiales; Euphorbiaceae
Source: RNAcentral
CUUGUUCUUGCCGUGAAUAUUAUUGUUGCCUUGUGUGAAUGGUAGCUUGAAGUUACUUGCUUGGUGUGGCUUGUAACUUGUUGUUGCGUGAGGAUGCUUGUUGCUUGCGUGAGCUUGGUUGUUUGAGUAUUGAAUUUCGGCCAUUGUUUAAGUUUGGUGUAAACUUGGUUGCCGUGUGCUCUUGCUUGGGUUGGUGUUGAGUUUCGGCCAUUG